UUUGCUUUAACAUUAAGAUGUUCAGAUACCAUAACUUAGUAUAACGGACAUUGUGAAGUAACAUAGUAUCACCUUAAGCUUUUUCAGAAUGUUUAUAUCACCGUGCAGCGCCAUGACAACGUCCACGACAUACUCUUUACCAUAUUACCACAACUUAUUUUCUCGGUCGCAAACCAAUGAUGGAAAGAAAAUCCACGCAACCACGUAUGUUACCGAGAUAGGAACGAUAUCUAGUCCAGUGGCUGGUGCACCGUCAGUCAUUCAGGUCAAAGGUCAAGGCUUUAAAUCCAAGCUCGAGGAAAACGGCGACAAGGACAUAGUGAAUAGUAGCAGCAAGCGAUGCGGCGAACACAUGAACAAGCUGUUACUUAUGAAGAAAGACUCUAACUUAUCUUAUCAAAGAAAGCAUGACAAUGACAAAGAUGGAGUGGAAAAUUAUAGCAUUGUUUUAAAUGAGACGAGCUCCUUAAAUACAUGUUUGAUCGAAAGUACAAAAUCUAAACUAGGCAAAGCAGGUUAGUCCGAUAAAUCGAUCAGUGUGGAAAGUCCUGAACAAAAUAGUAUAACUAAUGUUGCACGAAGUCAGAAACAUACUAAGGUACGUGCGCCUAAACGUGAUCCUCAGUCAUCUGAUAUGUCAUCUAUUAUAACUAUAGCGAGGUUACAUUCCCCUAGCAACAAGAAAACUGUAUCUGAUUGUUAUGGCUCUGAAAAGACGAAGAUUCAAUCAACCGAAAAUGAGAACGGAAAAAAUUUGCAUGUUCAAGAAGUUGAAGAAACAGAAAAAGAUGGUAACGUACCAAAACAUGAAGUCCCUUUGUCAAUUAUUGAUAUGUCUGAUGUGAUAACAGUGUCAGAUACUGAAGAUAAAGACAAAGAGCAGAAGAGAGAUCAGUUGAAGAUAACACAUAUAUCACAAUUGUUCGACUUUAAAUCUAAGCAGAAUAAUGGAAGACAGACGAAGAUCGUUCGACCUAUUCCAGUGUCGGCCGUGAAACCAGAAUCACCAGCGAAAGACGGCAAAUCAGACAGUCACCAGGUAACCAGGAUACAGAGAAAACUAUGUUGGGUCAAAGCAGCAAAGCAGACACACCGACACAGAGUUGUGGUAUACCGAUAGGCAUCGCUGUUGCGCGACAGAGGUCGAUAGCACCAAAGCUCACCAGCUAUAAGGAAAUUAAGAAGAACGCGAAUGAAAUAAAGCAUAAAAACCCCGUCGCCGAAGUGAAACCUAUGAG
Molecule: long non-coding RNA, 1238 nt
Organism: Dreissena polymorpha
Lineage: Eukaryota; Metazoa; Mollusca; Bivalvia; Myida; Dreissenidae
Exons: 3
Source: RefSeq, a predicted model, not a curated record